This 434-nucleotide ribosomal RNA is filed under the name uncultured Lachnospiraceae bacterium. RNAcentral describes it as "partial 16S ribosomal RNA". It matches the Rfam family "Bacterial small subunit ribosomal RNA", at positions 341 to 792 of the family's 1533-position model. Lineage: Bacteria; Bacillati; Bacillota; Clostridia; Lachnospirales; Lachnospiraceae. The record is from RNAcentral.
ACGGGAGGCAGCAGUGGGGAAUAUUGGACAAUGGGGGAAACCCUGAUCCAGCGACGCCGCGUGAGUGAAGGAGUAUUUCGGUAUGUAAAGCUCUAUCAGCAAGGAAGAAAAUGACGGUACUUGACUAAGAAGCUCCGGCUAAAUACGUGCCAGCAGCCGCGGUAAUACGUAUGGAGCAAGCGUUAUCCGGAUUUACUGGGUGUAAAGGGAGCGUAGACGGCGAAGCAAGUCUGAAGUGAAAUCCCGGGGCUCAACCCCGGACCUGCAGACUGGACUGUUUCUCUUGGAUAGUUCAGGGGCAAGCGGAAUCCCUGGUGUAGCGGUGGAAUGCGUAGAGAUCAGGAAGAACACCGAUGGCGAAGGCAGCUUGCUGGGGACUUAUCGACGCUCAUGCUCGAAAGUGCGGGUAGCAAACAGGAUUAGAUACCCUGGUA